CUGGAGGUAUCAGAAGUGCGAAUGCUGACAUAAGUAACGAUAAAGCGGGUGAAAAGCCCGCUCGCCGGAAGACCAAGGGUUCCUGUCCAACGUUAAUCGGGGCAGGGUGAGUCGACCCCUAAGGCGAGGCCGAAAGGCGUAGUCGAUGGGAAACAGGUUAAUAUUCCUGUACUUGGUGUUACUGCGAAGGGGGGACGGAGAAGGCUAUGUUGGCCGGGCGACGGUUGUCCCGGUUUAAGCGUGUAGGCUGGUUUUCCAGGCAAAUCCGGAAAAUCAAGGCUGAGGCGUGAUGACGAGGCACUACGGUGCUGAAGCAACAAAUGCCCUGCUUCCAGGAAAAGCCUCUAAGCAUCAGGUAACAUCAAAUCGUACCCCAAACCGACACAGGUGGUCAGGUAGAGAAUACCAAGGCGCUUGAGAGAACUCGGGUGAAGGAACUAGGCAAAAUGGUGCCGUAACUUCGGGAGAAGGCACGCUGAUAUGUAGGUGAAGCGACUUGCUCGUGGAGCUGAAAUCAGUCGAAGAUACCAGCUGGCUGCAACUGUUUAUUAAAAACACAGCACUGUGCAAACACGAAAGUGGACGUAUACGGUGUGACGCCUGCCCGGUGCCGGAAGGUUAAUUGAUGGGGUCAGCGCAAGCGAAGCUCUUGAUCGAAGCCCCGGUAAACGGCGGCCGUAACUAUAACGGUCCUAAGGUAGCGAAAUUCCUUGUCGGGUAAGUUCCGACCUGCACGAAUGGCGUAAUGAUGGCCAGGCUGUCUCCACCCGAGACUCAGUGAAAUUGAACUCGCUGUGAAGAUGCAGUGUACCCGCGGCAAGACGGAAAGACCCCGUGAACCUUUACUAUAGCUUGACACUGAACAUUGAGCCUUGAUGUGUAGGAUAGGUGGGAGGCUUUGAAGUGUGGACGCCAGUCUGCAUGGAGCCGACCUUGAAAUACCACCCUUUAAUGUUUGAUGUUCUAACGUUGACCCGUAAUCCGGGUUGCGGACAGUGUCUGGUGGGUAGUUUGACUGGGGCGGUCUCCUCCUAAAGAGUAACGGAGGAGCACGAAGGUUGGCUAAUCCUGGUCGGACAUCAGGAGGUUAGUGCAAUGGCAUAAGCCAGCUUGACUGCGAGCGUGACGGCGCGAGCAGGUGCGAAAGCAGGUCAUAGUGAUCCGGUGGUUCUGAAUGGAAGGGCCAUCGCUCAACGGAUAAAAGGUACUCCGGGGAUAACAGGCUGAUACCGCCCAAGAGUUCAUAUCGACGGCGGUGUUUGGCACCUCGAUGUCGGCUCAUCACAUCCUGGGGCUGAAGUAGGUCCCAAGGGUAUGGCUGUUCGCCAUUUAAAGUGGUACGCGAGCUGGGUUUAGAACGUCGUGAGACAGUUCGGUCCCUAUCUGCCGUGGGCGCUGGAGAACUGAGGGGGGCUGCUCCUAGUACGAGAGGACCGGAGUGGACGCAUCACUGGUGUUCGGGUUGUCAUGCCAAUGGCACUGCCCGGUAGCUAAAUGCGGAAGAGAUAAGUGCUGAAAGCAUCUAAGCACGAAACUUGCCCCGAGAUGAGUUCUCCCUGACUCCUUGAGAGUCCUGAAGGAACGUUGAAGACGACGACGUUGAUAGGCCGGGUGUGUAAGCGCAGCGAUGCGUUGAGCUAACCGGUACUAAUGAACCGUGAG
RNAcentral lists this ribosomal RNA (1662 nucleotides) under Escherichia coli. RNAcentral describes it as "partial 23S ribosomal RNA". It matches the Rfam family "Bacterial large subunit ribosomal RNA", at positions 1273 to 2915 of the family's 2925-position model. The record is from RNAcentral. Lineage: Bacteria; Pseudomonadati; Pseudomonadota; Gammaproteobacteria; Enterobacterales; Enterobacteriaceae. RNAcentral also lists the same sequence under 1 other name.